Molecule: ribosomal RNA, 497 nt
Filed under: uncultured bacterium
Lineage: Bacteria
Description: partial 16S ribosomal RNA
Rfam family: Bacterial small subunit ribosomal RNA
Source: RNAcentral
GAUGAACGCUGGCGGCGUGCCUAAUACAUGCAAGUCGAGCGAACGGACGAGAAGCUUGCUUCUCUGAUGUUAGCGGCGGACGGGUGAGUAACACGUGGAUAACCUACCUAUAAGACUGGGAUAACUUCGGGAAACCGUAGCUAAUACCGGAUAAUAUUUUGAACCGCAUGGUUCAAAAGUGAAAGACGGUCUUGCUGUCACUUAUAGAUGGAUCCGCGCUGCAUUAGCUAGUUGGUAAGGUAACGGCUUACCAAGGCAACGAUGCAUAGCCGACCUGAGAGGGUGAUCGGACAGACUGGAACUGAGACACGGUACAGACUCCUACGGGAGGCAGCAGUAGAGAAUCUUCCGCAAUGGGCGAAAGCCUGACGGAGCAACGCCGCGUGAGUGAUGAAGGUCUUCGGAUCGUAAAACUCUGUUAUUAGGGAAGAACAUAUGUGUAAGUAACUGUGCACAUCUUGACGGUACCUAAUCAGAAAGCCACGGCUAACUACGUG